Molecule: long non-coding RNA, 224 nt
Filed under: Elaeis guineensis (African oil palm)
Lineage: Eukaryota; Viridiplantae; Streptophyta; Magnoliopsida; Arecales; Arecaceae
Description: long non-coding RNA (EGUI_LNC007018)
Source: RNAcentral
UGCCCUGUUUUCUCCAAAUCAGUCAAUUACUUUCUUAACAAGUACUCCCUUUGAUCGCUGCCUUGUUAUCUCCGAAUUAGCCUUUUACUUUGACACGGUGGUACUUGAACCUAACCUACACGGCAGCCAAGUAGGCCUUAUGUUGUCACAUGCAAGACUUCCAAAAAGAAGUGUACGGUCUUGCUCUUAGACUAAGUUAAAUUGGAGCCACAUGCUAGCAUUGC